AGAGACAGCAGUCGCCGCGGAAUACGAAGGGGGCUAGCGUUGUUCGGAUUUACUGGGCGUAAAGCGCACGUAGGCGGACUUUUAAGUCAGGGGUGAAAUCCCGGGGCUCAACCCCGGAACUGCCUUUGAUACUGGAAGUCUUGAGUAUGGUAGAGGUGAGUGGAAUUCCGAGUGUAGAGGUGAAAUUCGUAGAUAUUCGGAAGAACACCAGUGGCGAAGGCGGCUCACUGGACCAUUACUGACGCUGAGGUGCGAAAGCGUGGGGAGCAAACAGGAUUAGAUACCCCUGUAGUCCCUGUCUCUUAUACA
This 309-nucleotide ribosomal RNA is filed under the name uncultured bacterium. RNAcentral describes it as "partial 16S ribosomal RNA". It matches the Rfam family "Bacterial small subunit ribosomal RNA", at positions 504 to 808 of the family's 1533-position model. The record is from RNAcentral.